CAAUGGGGGAAACCCUGAAUGCAGCGACGCCGCGUGGAGGAAGAAGGUCUUCGGCAUUGUAAACUCCUGUUGUUGAGGAAGAUAAUGACGGUACUCAACAAGGAAGUGNNCGCUAACUACGUGCCAGCAGCCGCGGUAAAACGUAGGUCACAAGCGUUGUCCGGAAUUACUGGGUGUAAAGGGAGCGCAGGCGGGAAGACAAGUUGGAAGUGAAAUCUAUGGGCUCAACCCAUAAACUGCUUUCAAAACUGUUUUUCUUGAGUAGUGCAGAGGUAGGCGGAAUUCCCGGUGUAGCGGUGGAAUGCGUAGANAUCGGGAGGAACACCAGUGGCGAAGGCGGCCUACUGGGCACCAACUGACNCUGAGGCUCGAAAGUGUGGGUAGCAAACAGGAUUAGAUACCCUGGUAGUCCAAGGGCGAAUUC
This 424-nucleotide ribosomal RNA is filed under the name uncultured bacterium. RNAcentral's name for it is "SSU rRNA". It matches the Rfam family "Bacterial small subunit ribosomal RNA", at positions 369 to 808 of the family's 1533-position model. The record is from RNAcentral.